RNAcentral lists this transfer RNA (79 nucleotides) under Anneissia japonica. RNAcentral describes it as "tRNA-Asn". It matches the Rfam family "tRNA". Rfam says of the family: Transfer RNA (tRNA) molecules are approximately 80 nucleotides in length. The record is from RNAcentral. Lineage: Eukaryota; Metazoa; Echinodermata; Crinoidea; Comatulida; Comatulidae.
GUCUCUGUGGCGCAAUCGGUUAGCGCCUUCGGCUGUUAACCGAAAGGUUGGUGGUUCAAGCCCCCCCCCCCCAGGGGCG